AUGACGAUAAUAAGCUGGAACUGCCGGGGUCUUGGGCAACCCCGGACAGUUCAGGAGUUGGUGUGCCUAGUGCGCACCUACCGACCUUCUCUGGUCUUUAUCUCUGAAACUAGGAAAAGCGAGGAUUAUGUUAAUAAGCUACGUAGGAGACUAGGUCUCAAGCAUUGCAUCUCCCAUGUCGGUAAGGGAAAGGGUGCAGGUAUAGCUCUCUUCUAUGAUGAGCAAGUUGAAAUAAAAGAACUCGCUAUUGGCCCGCGUUACAUCGAUGUGUUGGUA
This 276-nucleotide ribosomal RNA is filed under the name Triticum aestivum (bread wheat). Its description in RNAcentral is "partial small subunit ribosomal RNA". Lineage: Eukaryota; Viridiplantae; Streptophyta; Magnoliopsida; Poales; Poaceae. The record is from RNAcentral.